UAGAUGCGAGAGUAGAGCAUAUCAAUAAGCGGAGGAAAAGAGGGUUAUUACCUACGCUUAGGAUGUUGACGAGACUGUCGAUCUCAUCUAUACAUGACUCUGUGCAUAUCAAUAAGCGGAGGAAAAGCAUACAUGUAUACCUACGCUUAGGAUGUUGACGAGACUGUCGAUCUCACUGUGACUAGCAUAUCAAUAAGCGGAGGAAAAGAAACUAACAAGGAUUCCCCUAGUAACGGCGAGUGAAGCGGGAAGAGCUCAAAUUUGAAAUCUUAAAGGGUUUCCCUUUACGAAUCGUAGUUUAAAGAAGUGUUUUCUGUUGAGGUUUUGGUAAAAGUUCUUUGGAAUAGGACAUCAUAGAGGGUGAGAAUCCCGUAUUUGACCUUUACUUUCAACUUUGUGAUACACUUUCAAAGAGUCGGAUUGUUUGGGAAUGCAGUCCAAAAUGGGUGGUAAAUUUCAUCUAAAGCUAAAUAUUGGCGAGAGACCGAUAGCGAACAAGUACCGUGAGGGAAAGAUGAAAAGAACUUUGAAAAGAGAGUUAAACAGUAGCGUGAAAUUGUCAAAAGGGAAGCGUUUGACACCAGUGUUGUUUUUCUGAAAAUCAAUUAAAGAACUGUUUAUGCUAAGCUGUUUAGACUUUAUCAGCUAUACUGUUUAGUUUUGAGCUUUUCUUUAAUGCACUUUUCAGUUAACAAGUCAACAUCAAUUUCUUUUGCUGUAAAAAAGCUUGAGGAAGGUGGCUUGAGAUUCGUCUUAAGUGUUUAUAGCCUCUUGCCUAUGCAGUCGGAGAGAUUGAGGUCUGCAGCGUAGAUCCUUCGGGGCUAAAUGCAUUUGUGCUAAGUUAUAGCAUUUUAUAGACAACUUGUUGACUAUGAUUUGUCUUGUAGCUUACUCGCUUAUGUUAUUUUACCUACGCUUAGGAUGUUGACGAGACUGUCGAUCUC
Molecule: ribosomal RNA, 944 nt
Filed under: uncultured Neocallimastigales
Lineage: Eukaryota; Fungi; Neocallimastigomycota; Neocallimastigomycetes; Neocallimastigales
Description: partial large subunit ribosomal RNA
Rfam family: Eukaryotic large subunit ribosomal RNA (bases 149-944)
Source: RNAcentral